RNAcentral lists this ribosomal RNA (301 nucleotides) under uncultured bacterium. RNAcentral's name for it is "partial 16S ribosomal RNA". It matches the Rfam family "Bacterial small subunit ribosomal RNA", at positions 509 to 807 of the family's 1533-position model. The record is from RNAcentral.
CAGUAGCCGCGGGAAUACAGAGGGUGCGAGCGUUAAUCGGAUUUACUGGGCGUAAAGCGUGCGUAGGCGGCUUUUUAAGUCGGAUGUGAAAUCCCUGAGCUUAACUUAGGAAUUGCAUUCGAUACUGGGAAGCUAGAGUAUGGGAGAGGAUGGUAGAAUUCCAGGUGUAGCGGUGAAAUGCGUAGAGAUCUGGAGGAAUACCGAUGGCGAAGGCAGCCAUCUGGCCUAACACUGACGCUGAGGUACGAAAGCAUGGGGAGCAAACAGGAUUAGAUACCCCUGUAGUCCCUGUCUCUUAUAC